UGUGGCAUAUGGAAGUUCCCAGGCUAGGGGUCGAAUUGGAGCUACAGCCGCCAGCCUACACCUCAGCCACAGCAACACAGGAUCUGAGUUGCAUCUGUGACCUGCACCACAGCUCACGGCAAUGCUGGAUCCCCGACGCACUGAGCGAGGCCAGGGAUAGAACCCGUAUCCUCAUGGAUACUAGUCAGAUUCGUUUCUGCUGGGCCACAAUGGGAACUCCUGAAUAUAUCCACUUUAUUUUGGAGUGGAGGACCUAGUUUUCAAGAGAUUCUUAUUUAAAAGGCUCCAGCAUACCCACCAACAAUGAAGACCAUGACUUGUUAUUCCAUGCUUUUCUUUAAUAGCUGAGGAGGAAGAGGCAGAGAAAUGCAGUAACUUGCCCAAGGUCACACAACAAGUUGGUGAAACAAACUUGGCACAGAACAUACCUCUCCAAAAUCUUAAUGUAAAUCUUGACGGACUGAACUAAACUACUUGAAUGGUCUUGAUUUAGUUUUUUAAAACUUUCUGUUAAAAAAUCUAGAUAUCUCAGAUUUGGAUAGUUUUCAUGAGUGUAUGGAAAAGAACAUUACCAAGUCCUAAACAAGCUAGUGGCACAUCUACCUGUUUAGACAUCAUAGCCUCCUGGGUACCACUUAGUGCCAAGCAUGAGGAUGACAACUAACAAAUUAAGUCAGGUAUCUGAAGAUAUGCUUACAUUUUAUGGAAUACACAGAUAUUUAAAAAUUCUGGAUUUUUUCCAUUUUCAUCUGAAAGCGUGACAUCCAACAGAGAGAUGGUACACAUGAAUACGCAAGCUAUUUUGGCUAUGAAGUCAAAAUGGGCAACCUGGAUUAUAGUCUGCAGAUCUAGUCAGAAAGGGUACAGUUCAGCAGGAAGGAAAAAAAGCAAUUUUGAGGGAGAGUUCAGAACACAUGGAAGAAUAAUGGAUAUCUCAGAGAGUUUAAAUAUUAUGGUGUGGAGUGUAUUUUAGUGGAAAAAAUAACAGUGAAUUACAUGCCUGAGAUGUGUGUAAAAUGGUCUUUCAUGCUUCAUAAGAAGUGUGAAUGAGGUGAUCUUAAGGUAGGAAUCCACAUUGUUUUUCACACACAGAUUUCCAAAGAUUGUGUACUUUAUGGCAGAACGAAGCUUUGGAUGUAGGUGUAAGGAUAUAUGUAGACACAAUCCCUGGUGUAUAGAGAGCACUCGGUCAGCGGAGGCUGAGAUUAUCUUUAUUUCAAAGAUAAGGUACUAGCCAGGUUGUAGACUUAUAUUACAUCUUACAUCUAUUAUGAUCACACAACAUUACUGCUCAUAACCUAUUCUUACCAUUUACUAGUUAUCUAGAGCAUUUCUGAAUCAAAUUUCAUUGGAGGUCAUACCUACCCUCACAGGGUUAUAGUGAGAGCUAAAAUGUGAGAAGAAAGGUUUUCUUUGCCUUGAAGAUUAAUUCAAUCCCUCAAGACAAAGAACUGCUGAACUGACCUGCAAGUACAAAAUGGUAUAUGCUUCACAGGGCACCUUCUAAUUGAAAGAACAUAUACAUUGAUAGUGAGAAGUCAAAUUAAAAAAAAUCACUUUAUGUUUAUUCAUAUUGCUACCAUUUUUACUUUCCAACAGUUUUAAAGUUUUAUCAGCUACAUGGUGCAGUGAAGUGGUACCAUUAGGAAAUUGCAGAUCGACCAGAAAUAUAAUUUUAAUGAUUAAAUGAUACUAAUGAGAAAUAUCUUCAAAGGGACUCAUACACAAAUCAGCAAAUUAGAAAACAGAUUUACAUCCCCUGACAUUUGGGGAAAACGUUUCCAUAAAGAUUUUUACCCAGGUGAUGUGUCAUGCUUCAAUAAGCUGUUAAUGCGAUUGACGAUCCAACUAAACAGGCGUCCGUACAAGGUUUUAGCCAUCGCAUCCCUGACAUCAGUAGCUUUUUCUACAGUAUUGGGUCGUAUGAUGGUUUCUCCUCUAGUGACCACACAGUGGGAAGUAAGAGCUUCUUGUAACUCAUCUGCUUGAAUGCAAAGCAAAGAAGCAGCUAAAAUAAAUAAAUAAAUAAAGAAAGAUGUGUUAUUAGAAGACAUCCUGAUAAUGAAGUAAUCUCCCGGAAAAGAAAACCGUCAAUUCACCUUCUUCAAAUGACAUGAGAUAAAUGUGAAGAUUUUAUAAUGCAAAAAUAAGUUCCUAUUUAAUGAGAGUUUUAUGUCCCUUUCUGAUCAUUUCUUCCCCUAUCUCUGGUUAAAGGUAGGCGAUUGUAUAACAUGGCACAGCCCAAGAUGAACUGGCUGACAGAGUGACAAGCUGCACAAACCACAAAUAAUUUCACUGAAUUAUGUUAAACAAUUUAAAAACAUAACGAAUAUAAUACUCAUGAUGAACAUAAUAUAAGAUUCAUGAAAACAUGAAUACUGGAUACCACUAUUUUACACAUUUUCAAAACAUAGAAAUUAAUUGCAAGGUUACCUAGACUUCAGGGAUAUACCCAACAAGUAACUUCUGCAAUAUAGAAACAAAUAAGCAUAAAACAUCUUGAAAUUCAUAUACCUUCAUCAUAUUACUUUGUUACAUAUUUCAAUGACUAAAGUUUGUAAACCUAUUGCCUGAAUAAACAUUUAAUAUUUAAUGAUAACCAAAUAUCACAGGAAAUUUUAAAUGAGUAAAACUUAAGCUCAGUGAACAAAAAUCAUUUUUACAUAUAAAAAACAUCCUUAACCUAAACUAUUACAUGACAGAUAGCCUAAUUUUUCAAAUCAGUUGUUCUUCUUUGAAAAUAUUUUGAAUAUUUGAAAUUUACUUUUAGCAUGUAGGACAAGAUAUUUCUUGGUUAUACGGCUUAAACUGUUGAGCCUUAUUUAAACAAAAUGUUUUUUCACAUUGUAGAAGUAAUACAGACUCACUGCAGAAAUCUUACCUUCAAAGAAAACAUUCUACAUUUCUUUCCUUCUAGGUGGGUUUAUUGCCACUGUUCUGCACAAAUAUUUGACCUUAAUAUCUUAGGCAUUUCAUAUUUGGUUGAAUACUGUUGGUUAAUAUAAUUUUAAUUUGCUGCCUAAUAUUCUGACAUACAUCAUAAUGUAUCAGUUAUUAAAUUGUUGGAUGUUUGGGUUGUUUCCAUAUGUCCACAAUUGUAAAGAAUGCUAGGAUAAAUAUUUUGGGUGUGAAUCUGUGUUCCUGUUUUUCAUUAUUUGCAUAAAUUGCCUAAAUCAGCAACUGGUUCAGAGGAUAUAAACAUAUUUAAGCUUUUAUAUACAUACGUUUUAGCUGCUCUUUAGCAACUCUGAACCAACAUUCCUAUCAGCCAAAUGAAAGAUAAAUAAUUUCAACACAAUUUCCUAGAUAUCAGGAAUUAUUAUUUUCAAAAAUAAUGCUUUCUUCAUUCAAUUUGUUUUUCUUAGUGAAGUUGAAUAGUUGCUUUCAUAUUUUUAUUAGUUAUUUGUGCUUCUUAUUUUGUAAACUGCCCCUUUCAUCGAUAGAAUCAUCUCUUCAUAAUCAACUUCUAAGAGCUCUUUAGAGUUUAAAGAGAGUAAUGCUUUGAUAUGUAUGCUGCAAGUAUUCUCCCUCAUUUUCAUUUGCAUUGUAAUUUCAUUUGUUUUCCUAUUUUUUUAGUAUAAGACAAUUUAAAUUUUUAUGUAGUUAUAGAUCCAUUUAAAAAAUCAUUUCUUCUCUUGGUUUUCUGCACAUAAAGUCCUUCAAGUCUUUUCUCCUCUUAGGAUAAUAUGAAUGCAUUUUCCCUUUACAUUUAAUUAUUUAUUUACUUAUCUGCAUUUAAAUGGAUACACAUUUGGAAUUCACUUUGGUAUAUGGUGUAUGAGAAGGAUUCAAACACCCCCUCCUCCAAAUAGUUGGCCAGUUGCAUGACAGCACUGCUUCUCUAGUAAUUUGUAAUGCCUUUUCUGGUAAUUCCACUUGGAUCUAUAUCUGAAUAGUGUCUCCUAUGACUGUUUAUUUUUAUUUCCAUUGCCACAUUAUUCACUCAUCUGACAUAUAUCUAUUUAUUAAGCGGUUACUACAUGUCAGGCAUUUGUCCUAGGGAUGUACUGCUAAGUAGAACACUUCGUAAGGUAAAGCUCUCAGCCUGAUGGUCUUUAUCCAGAGGGAAUGGGAAGUUAAUUAAGAAGUAUAAGUGGGAAGAUAGAGAGAGGGGGAGAAGGAGAGGGACAAGGAUGGGGAAAGGGAGAUUGAGACACCUCACUGACACACAUUGAGUGGUUUCUGAAUGAAUUGUUGAGAAUGGCCCGGAAAAGUUCAAGAAUUGAUGUGGAAUGAAUCAACUGUCUUAGAUAAGAGAAUAAUGAUGAUGGAGACAAAGAGAAAGGUCAUAUUUGGGAGAGAGUUAUGGGAUAAAAUGGACAAAAUUGGUGCCUGCUUGAAAUCAUGCACUUGUAAAAAUCAUCUGGAAACAUGGCCUUGGUUUGGAGAUAAUUCCUUGUAACUUUAAUUAUAAAUCACUCUACUGUCAAUUAGUAAAAUUCUAUUUUCCAUGAGUGGCUUGUUCUAGAAAGUGCUUUAAUUAAUUUAAACUAUAUUCAUAUUAACCUUUUGUGACUGAUAUGACUGUAUUCUGCUAAAAAGAAAUGGGUAGUUUCUAAGCAUAUUCAUAACUACAACAUAUCUCUAUUGAGACUUAUUCUGUUGGUGGCUGAUAACUUUUCUAAUUAUGAUUAGAUGGUGAGGUUUGACUCUUUUCACUGGAGUUUUCUGGUUAUUAUUUCCACCUCUGAUGACCUAAUAUCUUUGUGCCAAUUAUGUUUUCUUCAUAUGUGAAAAACCAGAGCAAGCUUUCCAGAUACCUGCUAAUCAUUACAUGCCAACCUCAGACACUUGUUCUGCUGUAUUACCAAGUUGGUUCCAGAGACUCAGUGGGCUAGAGAUGAUAGUAAUCUGGGGAGAGGUCCAGACCAGAGUGGUCUGGAACUUGGCCCACUGAAAUUACCUGAAAACAUCUCAUUCUGUUCCUGAGUAAGGGUAAAUCAGAAAAAAAUAUAUAAAUAAAAAUUUAUAUCAUGAUUUCCUAAGUUAUAAAUUAAACUUUUAGCAAAUAUGGAAUGGUGGAGACAUAUGCCAGUAUUAAAAUAAAACAAUAGGGUAUAUUCUAAAUAAAAAAGCUUUGCCACGGCAAGGUAUCAGUGAGAAACAUUAAAUUAGUGAAAUAAUUCAUCAAACUCUGCUAGCAAGAUUCAAGCUGAUUUGAAGCAACUACCAUGAUAUGCUUUUCUUAAAUAGGAAAUGACUGAGAGUUCCUGUUGUGGCUCAGUGGUUGACAAGCCUGGUUGGCAUCCAUGGGGGCAUGGGUUUGACCUCUGGCCUUGCUCAGUGGGUUGGAGAUCCAGCAUUCCCAUGAGCUGUAGUGUGGGUCGCAGAUGCAGCUCAGAUCCCAUGUUGCUGUGGCUCUGGUAUAGGCCAGUGGCUGCAGCUCUGGUUGGACCCCUAGCCUGGGAAAC
RNAcentral lists this long non-coding RNA (5411 nucleotides) under Sus scrofa (pig). Its description in RNAcentral is "lncRNA (ENSSSCG00000060372.1)". Lineage: Eukaryota; Metazoa; Chordata; Mammalia; Artiodactyla; Suidae. The record is from RNAcentral.